GGACUGUGUACAAGUCUCCUGGGAUGGAGCAUCAUGGAGGGUGAGAAUCCCGUAUAUGACACAGACUACCAGUGCAUUGUGGUAUGCUCUCAACGAGUCGAGUUGUUUGGGAAUGCAGCUCAAAAUGGGUGGUAAAUUCCAUCUAAAGCUAAAUAUUGGCGAGAGACCGAUAGCGAACAAGUACCGUGAGGGAAAGAUGAAAAGAACUUUGGAAAGAGAGUUAAACAGUACGUGAAAUUGCUGAAAGGGAAACGCUUGAAGUCAGUCGCGUCUGCUGGGAAUCAGCCUCGCUCCUGCGUGGUGUACUUUCUGGUUUGACGGGUCAGCAUCAAUUUUGAUCACUGGAAAAAGGUGUGGGGAAUGUGGCAGCUCCGGCUGUGUUAUAGCCCCAUGUCACAUACAGUGGUUGGGAUUGAGGAACGCAGCACGCCGCAAGGCCGGGUCUUUUGGACCACGUUCGUGCUUAGGAUGCUGGCAUAAUGGCUUUAAGCGACCCGUCUUGAAACACGGACCAAGGAGUCUAACAUGCCUGCGAGUGUUUGGGUGGAAAACUCGAGCGCGCAAUGAAAGUGAAAGUUGAGAUCCCUGUCGUGGGGAGCAUCGACGCCCGGACCAGAACUUUUGGGACGGAUCCGCGGUAGAGCAUGUAUGUUGGGACCCGAAAGAUGGUGAACUAUGCCUGAAUAGGGUGAAGCCAGAGGAAACUCUGGUGGAGGCUCGUAGCGGUUCUGACGUGCAAAUCGAUCGU
RNAcentral lists this ribosomal RNA (748 nucleotides) under Micropsalliota arginea. Its description in RNAcentral is "eukaryotic LSU rRNA". It matches the Rfam family "Eukaryotic large subunit ribosomal RNA", at positions 172 to 905 of the family's 3401-position model. Lineage: Eukaryota; Fungi; Basidiomycota; Agaricomycetes; Agaricales; Agaricaceae. The record is from RNAcentral.